CUUUAACCAACGAUUUAUAUACAUACAGAAACAAUUAAAUUAUUGCAAGUAAAAUAUCAUAUCGUUUGAUAUAUCAGUGUUCAAAAAAAUAUCGGAAUAUUGGGACGAGUAAAUUGAAGAUACACGAUGUAUCAUAUCAUCUCAACUCUGUUUCAGAGUCAGAUAACAAAUGAUCCAACUCCAACUCUGACAUUCUCAGAUCAGCAGAUUGGUAGCUUUUUACCAGCCCUACAUCCAUAUCGACAGCCAUGAUUGAAAUUCCAGAUAUUGAUGAUGCAAUUGAAGCUGUCACAGGCUACAUCAUUAAGGUAGCUGAAAUGUCUAUUUGCAAAUCAUCAGAGACCACGAUGGAAUCAUGACUGUGAAAUGGCCUACAACAAGUAGAAGGCUUGGGUUAUUUUCUACCACUACCUACUUAAAGAAAUUAAUUUCCUUCAGACUCAUAAAAAUACAACUUUCAAAAGAUCUGACAUCAGAGCCACCAUCAUGUCCUCUAUAUCAGCGGUUGCCAAAUGGUGAUCUCCGGAUCACCAGUAGUCCCUCGCGUAAUUUUAAUGGUCCACAAAGAAAUUCAGAUAUUAUUUAAAUUCGUUGAGCUUAUUUAAUAAAAUUUUUAAAUAAAAAAUAAAUUUUGUUUAAGUU
Molecule: long non-coding RNA, 642 nt
Filed under: Androctonus crassicauda
Lineage: Eukaryota; Metazoa; Arthropoda; Arachnida; Scorpiones; Buthidae
Source: RNAcentral